This 253-nucleotide ribosomal RNA is filed under the name uncultured bacterium. RNAcentral's name for it is "partial 16S ribosomal RNA". It matches the Rfam family "Bacterial small subunit ribosomal RNA", at positions 524 to 776 of the family's 1533-position model. The record is from RNAcentral.
GACAGAGGGUGCAAACGUGGCUCGGAUUUACUGGGCGUAAAGCGCAUGUAGGCGGGCGAUUAAGUCGGGUGUGAAAUCCCUGGGCUCAACCUAGGAACUGCAUCCGAAACUGAUCACCUUGAGUAGUGGAGAGGAAAGCGGAAUUCCGGGUGUAGAGGUGAAAUUCGUAGAUAUCCGGAGGAACACCAGUGGCGAAGGCGGCUUUCUGGACACUAACUGACGCUGAGAUGCGAAAGCGUGGGGAGCAAACAGG